Molecule: ribosomal RNA, 513 nt
Filed under: Podarkeopsis arenicolus
Lineage: Eukaryota; Metazoa; Annelida; Polychaeta; Phyllodocida; Hesionidae
Description: partial 16S ribosomal RNA
Rfam family: Bacterial large subunit ribosomal RNA
Source: RNAcentral
CGCCUUUUGACUCUUAUAUAAAAGGUCCAUCCUGCCCAGUGAACUACGGUUUCAACGGCCGCGGUACCCUGACCGUGCAAAGGUAGCAUAAUCAUUUGCCUUUUAAUUGGAGGCUUGUAUGAAUGGAUAAACGAAAGACUAAUUGUCUCAAUAUUUUAUAUAUAAAUUAGGCCUCAGGUGAAGACACCUGAAUUCAACUAAAAGACAAGAAGACCCUAUUGAGUUUCACUGAGUACCUCCCUCAAAAUUAUACUUUAUAAAUUCUGAUAAAGCUACCUCAGUUUGGUUGGGGCAACCGGGGAAAACUAACUCAUCCCCCACAUAUACGAGCCUAUCUCCACGUAUAAUCCACUUUAGUGAAUUAAGAAUAACACUACCAUAGGGAUAACAGGCUAAUCUCCUUAGAGAGUUCAUAUUGACAAGGAGGAUUGGCACCUCGAUGUUGGCUUAGGGCAUCCCUCAAAUGCAGCAGUUUGAGAAGGUCGGUUUGUUCAACCGUUAAAGCCCUACGUG